GGCCCAUUGAAUGAGAAAUUGAAAUCCUGGAAUUUAAAUGGGUUUUUAAUUGAAAUAGAUUAAUUCAAGAUUUAGUCUUGUAAAUCUUAAAAACAAAAUUUAGGGGUUUUUUGAAAUUACACAUUUUUAAAUACCAAAUCAAAUGCUGCAAGUGGUACCCUGAUUCUUGCUUGCUUGAAGUUUCUGCUAUCUUUACUUGAAUUUCUUCUUCUAGUACUUGUUUAGAUAUUGUUUGGAUGGCUGCAAG
Molecule: unclassified non-coding RNA, 247 nt
Filed under: Hevea brasiliensis (rubber tree)
Lineage: Eukaryota; Viridiplantae; Streptophyta; Magnoliopsida; Malpighiales; Euphorbiaceae
Source: RNAcentral